This 512-nucleotide ribosomal RNA is filed under the name uncultured bacterium. Its description in RNAcentral is "bacterial SSU rRNA". It matches the Rfam family "Bacterial small subunit ribosomal RNA", at positions 15 to 518 of the family's 1533-position model. The record is from RNAcentral.
GAUCAUGGCUCAGGAUGAACGCUAGCUACAGGCUUAACACAUGCAAGUCGAGGGGCAGCAUGAAGUUGCUUGCAAACUUGAUGGCGACCGGCGCACGGGUGAGUAACGCGUAUCCAACCUUCCCUAUACUAGAGGAUAGCCCGGCGAAAGUCGGAUUAAUACUCUAUGUUCUUCGUAGAAGACAUCUGAAAUGAAGCAAAGGUUUACCGGUAUAGGAUGGGGAUGCGUCUGAUUAGGUUGUUGGCGGGGUAACGGCCCACCAAGCCCACGAUCAGUAGGGGUUCUGAGAGGAAGGUCCCCCACAUUGGAACUGAGACACGGUCCAAACUCCUACGGGAGGCAGCAGUGAGGAAUAUUGGUCAAUGGACGAGAGUCUGAACCAGCCAAGUAGCGUGCAGGAUGACGGCCCUAUGGGUUGUAAACUGCUUUUAUACAGGGAUAAAGUUCACUACGUGUAGUGUUUUGUAGGUACUGUAUGAAUAAGGACCGGCUAAUUCCGUGCCAGCAGCGGC